This is a long non-coding RNA of Gallus gallus (chicken), 1061 nucleotides long. RefSeq lists it as uncharacterized. The record is from RefSeq and is a predicted model, not a curated record. Lineage: Eukaryota; Metazoa; Chordata; Aves; Galliformes; Phasianidae. The transcript has 3 exons.
GCCGGGAGAGGAGUGGGUGUGCUUUCCAAGCCGGGCGCCUUCAUCAAGAACCAUUGGAUGAUGCUGAGGAUUCUUGGUUCACCAACGGAAGCAGUUUUGUGAGACAAGAAAACCGUAAGGCGGGAUAUGCAGUAACCACCACUGACAAGGUCAGCCACUGGAGGAGAAGUGGAAUGGACUGUUCCAAGUGCUGCUGAUGACUUUUACUGCAGUCAAGAUCACGGAACAACCAAACUGGAUUCACUGUUCAAGUGUGAAGAAGUCACCAGGAGAGCAAUGGACAUCAGAAUCCAUGGGACCAACAGUUCUGAAGUUUACUUGAUGUUUGUGACUGCACUUGUGAUAAGUAUAUUGAAUUGUGUCGCUGCCAUUGCCCCAGGCCAAUUGUACACAUUACCCAAGGACAAAGUGGCACAGACUUCCUCAACACCACUCCAGAUGGAGUGAACUGUACUUGGUAUAGAGGGAACCCACCUAAUGGUACAUACGGGGCAAGUGGUUUGUGUCAUGUGGCUUGACAGCCAAGAUUAUGGCGAAAGGGGACGAGAAUGUUACAUGCUGUGUAUACAAGGAUUGGGUAUCCCUCCGUGUGUAAAGGUUAAGAAUGCUACAGGUGUAGAACUGACAAAUGGAAUCUAUGAAUUAGGAGCAAAUUCCUCAUGGGAGACAUUAACAUGUAUGGGACACUCAGUAGGAGAGGUAAACACAAUCGCAAUACUGAGAAACACAUCGUGAGAACUGAACAGAAUCAUAGAAUCAUAGAAUUGCUCAGGUUGGAAAAGACCUUAAAGAUCAUCAAGUCCAACCGCAACCUAACCAUAUUACCUGAACUCAAACAACUCGAUGCUAAAUCAUGUCCCUGAGCACCACAUCCAAACAGUUUUUAAAUACAUCCAGGGUGCUUCCUUCUGCAACUAUGAUGUUAGCCACCUGUGUUAGCCCUCUUGCACACACUGACCAAUUACCUGAUCAGGGCCAAAUGACUGCAGAAACACACCAAUAUGAUGAGCAGUAAAAUGGCAUCUAUUCACUACUAAGCACAGCUUAUAUACCUUUACUUG